AACUUCUGAAUGUUGACCUCGGAUCAGGUAGGAAUACCCGCUGAACUUAAGCAUAUCAAUAAGCGGAGGAAAAGAAACCAACAGGGAUUGCCCUAGUAACGGCGAGUGAAGCGGCAACAGCUCAAAUUUGAAAUCUGGCUCUCGGGCCCGAGUUGUAAUUUGUAGAGGAUGCUUUUGAUGCGGUGCCUUCCGAGUUCCCUGGAACGGGACGCCAUAGAGGGUGAGAGCCCCGUCUGGUUGGAUGCCAAAUCUCUGUAAAGCUCCUUCGACGAGUCGAGUAGUUUGGGAAUGCUGCUCUAAAUGGGAGGUAUAUGUCUUCUAAAGCUAAAUACCGGCCAGAGACCGAUAGCGCACAAGUAGAGUGAUCGAAAGAUGAAAAGCACUUUGAAAAGAGAGUUAAAAAGUACGUGAAAUUGUUGAAAGGGAAGCGUUUAUGACCAGACUUGGGCUUGGAUAAUCAUCUGGGGUUCUCUCCAGUGCACUUUUCCAGUCCAGGCCAGCAUCAGUUUUCGCCGGGGGAUAAAGGCUUCGGGAAUGUGGCUCUCUCCGGGGAGUGUUAUAGCCCGUUGCGUAAUACCCUGGCGGGGACUGAGGUUC
RNAcentral lists this ribosomal RNA (597 nucleotides) under Fusarium sp. NRRL 25081. RNAcentral describes it as "eukaryotic LSU rRNA". It matches the Rfam family "Eukaryotic large subunit ribosomal RNA", at positions 1 to 596 of the family's 3401-position model. The record is from RNAcentral. Lineage: Eukaryota; Fungi; Ascomycota; Sordariomycetes; Hypocreales; Nectriaceae.